Molecule: ribosomal RNA, 561 nt
Filed under: Triticum aestivum (bread wheat)
Lineage: Eukaryota; Viridiplantae; Streptophyta; Magnoliopsida; Poales; Poaceae
Description: partial small subunit ribosomal RNA
Source: RNAcentral
AUGGAAAUAAAAAACACAGAAGAUGAUGAAGUUCAUAACCCUGACCCAUAUGAUUUCUUCUAUAGAAACAUACCAAAGAACACACACGUGCUCAAAACAGUACCAAAUUGCAGCUUCUGCCAUGCAACAAAAUUCAAGUAUGAAACAAAGGGGUUAUGUUGCAGAAAAGGACCGAUAAGACUAGCCAAUCUAGAUACACCACCGGAACUCAGGAGACUUUGGAAAAACAAUGAAUCAUAUGCAAGACAUUUUCGGAACAAUAUAAGAUUUUUCAAUGGACACUUCUCAUUCACUACUCUAUACUGCAACCUUGACAAAGAGACAACUGACAUGCAAACAGCUGGUAUUUGUAUGUUUCGAGCACCUGGUCAGAUCUAUCAUAAUAUACACUCAUUUGGUAACAGUCGCUCAGAUCCAAAGCAUCUGGAGUUAUACUUCUACGAUGAUGAUCCAAUCUUGGAGAAUCGUUACCGCCAUUGCCGUGAGGAAAUGUACGAUCAAGACAAGAAGGUGAUUCGAAUAAUAACCGACAUUCUAUGCGAUAAUCCAUACUCUCAAUAG